This 444-nucleotide ribosomal RNA is filed under the name uncultured bacterium. Its description in RNAcentral is "bacterial SSU rRNA". It matches the Rfam family "Bacterial small subunit ribosomal RNA", at positions 33 to 524 of the family's 1533-position model. The record is from RNAcentral.
ACGCUGCGGUAUGCUUAACACAUGCAAGUCGAACGAACUCUUUGAGUUAGUGGCGGACGGGUGAGUAACGCGUGAGAAUCUGGCUUCAGGUCGGGGACAACAGUUGGAAACGACUGCUAAUACCGGAUGUGCCGAAAGGUGAAAGAUUUAUUGCCUGAAGAUGAGCUCGCGUCUGAUUAGCUAGUUGGUAGAGUAAAAGCCUACCAAGGCUUCGAUCAGUAGCUGGUUUGAGAGGACGACCAGCCACACUGGGACUGAGACACGGCCCAGACUCCUACGGGAGGCAGCAGUGGGGAAUUUUCCGCAAUGGGCGAAAGCCUGACGGAGCAAUACCGCGUGAGGGAGGAAGGUUUUUGGACUGUAAACCUCUUUUGAUCGGGAAGAAGUUCUGACGGUACCGAUCGAAUAAGCAUCGGCUAACUCCGUGCCAGCAGCCGCGGUAAU